CGCAAUAUAAUAAUUUUUUGCGAUAAUAAUGGAUACAACAAUCGAGGAGGGGGAAGAUCCCAAAAACUUCUCUCUUUAGUUUUCUCCCUCACUCAAGUCUGAUCUAGAAUUUCUUUUUUGGUGGUUGGUGACACCUCGAGUCUCCAGUCACCACCCCUCUGUCUCCUUUGCUUUGGUUACAACCUCCCACCUUUUUUCUCUCUUCCCUAGCCUUUUUCCUAUAUGCUCUCUACUCUGAUUUUCUUCCGGUAAAUUCUCUCUAGUGGACCAAAAAUGGGUGUUGUAGGUGUAUGUGUCCUCUUUGGAGUAACGGUGAGGAAACAUUUUGGGGUUUUGUCAAAGGGUUCCGGUGGAGUUUGUUCUUUGGUGGGUUGAGAGACCAGGGUCGAAGGUACAUGGGCAAACGGUGGGGCAAUUGUCCACCGUGACUUUUAAAAUUUCAAUAUUCGCCACUGGUUGAGACAGAUCUGUGUUAGAUCUGGGUCUUAAAGAGUCGGCGGUGGUUAGGAGCGUCGCUACCUCUUACAUGUCUCCGAUUUUCCUUGUUCCUUCUCUCCUCUGCUUAUUUCCCUUUCGGUAUUUGUCAGAACUUCUCCUCGCUUGGUGGGUAUGGCGGUGUCAGAGGUCGCCGCCGAUGACCUCAGUCUAGUAUCUCGACGUCAAUUUAUCUCGGAGGCUCCAUCUGCAGUGUUGCUUCUUGCUACUUCUCGGUAUCUCUCGGGCUUUGAGGACAAGUCCUUUCAAACUCAACGUAAUCCUUUGGGAUACAUAAUCACAGAGAUAUAGAAAACAAGGAUAUAGUUGUGGCAUACACUUGGCUUCCAUUACAUUCCAAGAAGAUUUUCCAAUAACGCAUAUAGUUUCUUGGAGUUUUCAUUUGAAAUCUGCAAACUUCUUUGAGCGCAAGCCAAUACUUACGGCCGCUCCGAACUUCAAACAUGAUCUUCCGCUUUGUGAAGCUAAAUAUUUAUCUGCUUGGGAUGAGUGAUGCACGGAAUAAACUCUUAGACCUUCCGUCCAUACAUUCGUGAUGCUCUAAUUAGUCAAAAUAAUGUUUAUUAUGGGAUUUAAAGUUGUAAUCAAACAUAUGUACACGCAAAUGCAAAUAUACAUAAACAUGUUAUGUACAAAUAUAAUAACUCUUUGGAAAACAAGAUAGAAUUUCAUUGCU
Molecule: RNA transcript, 1171 nt
Organism: Brassica oleracea var. oleracea
Lineage: Eukaryota; Viridiplantae; Streptophyta; Magnoliopsida; Brassicales; Brassicaceae
Exons: 3
Source: RefSeq, a predicted model, not a curated record